This 253-nucleotide ribosomal RNA is filed under the name uncultured bacterium. RNAcentral's name for it is "partial 16S ribosomal RNA". It matches the Rfam family "Bacterial small subunit ribosomal RNA", at positions 524 to 776 of the family's 1533-position model. The record is from RNAcentral.
UACGUAGGGCGCAAGCGUUGUCCGGAAUCAUUGGGCGUAAAGAGCUCGUAGGCGGCCUGUUGCGUCCGCUGUGAAAUCCCGGGGCUUAACCCCGGGCGUGCAGUGGAUACGGGCUGGCUAGAGGCAGGCAGGGGAGAACGGAAUUCCCGGUGUAGCGGUGAAAUGCGCAGAUAUCGGGAGGAACACCGGUGGCGAAGGCGGUUCUCUGGGCCUGUACUGACGCUGAGGAGCGAAAGCGUGGGGAGCGAACAGG